RNAcentral lists this ribosomal RNA (558 nucleotides) under Taeniacara candidi. RNAcentral describes it as "partial 16S ribosomal RNA". It matches the Rfam family "Bacterial large subunit ribosomal RNA", at positions 1845 to 2589 of the family's 2925-position model. Lineage: Eukaryota; Metazoa; Chordata; Actinopteri; Cichliformes; Cichlidae. The record is from RNAcentral.
AUAAGAGGUCCCGCCUGCCCGGUGACUAUAUGUUUAACGGCCGCGGUAUUUUGACCGUGCUAAGGUAGCGUAAUCACUUGUUUUUUAAAUGGAGACCUGUAUGAAUGGCACCACGAGGGCUUAACUGUCUCCUUUCUCCUGUCAAUGAAAUUGAUCUCCCCGUGCAGAAGCGGGGAUAAUUACAUAAGACGAAAAGACCCUUUGGAGCUUCAGGCUAUAGACAGCCUAUGUUAAACAACCUACCACACCAGGCAAAACAAUUAAGCCCUGCUCUACAUGCCUUUGGUUGGGGCGACCACGGGGAAAUAAAAAACCCCCACAUGGACCUGGAGGAGGUACCCAUACCCUCCAUACAACCUAGAGAUACAUCUCUAAGUAACAGAACUUCUGACCAAUUACAGGAUCCGGUAUUAACCGAUUAAUGAACCUAGUUACCCUAGGGAUAACAGCGCAAUCCCCUUUUAGAGCCCUUAUCGACAAGGGGGUUUACGACCUCGAUGUUGGAUCAGGACAUCCUAUUGGUGUAGCCGCUAUUAAGGGUUUGUUUGUUCAACAAUU